GACGAACGCUGGCGGCGUGCCUAAUACAUGCAAGUAGAACGCUGAAGGAGGAGCUUGCUUCUCUGGAUGAGUUGCGAACGGGUGAGUAACGCGUAGGUAACCUGCCUGGUAGCGGGGGAUAACUAUUGGAAACGAUAGCUAAUACCGCAUAAUAGUAGAUGUCGCAUGACAUUUGCUUAAAAGGUGCAAUUGCCUCACUACCAGAUGGACCUGCGUUGUAUUAGCUAGUUGGUGAGGUAACGGCUCACCAAGGCAACGAUACAUAGCCGACCUGAGAGGGUGAUCGGCCACACUGGGACUGAGACACGGCCCAGACUCCUACGGGAGGCAGCAGUAGGGAAUCUUCGGCAAUGGACGGAAGUCUGACCGAGCAACGCCGCGUGAGUGAAGAAGGUUUUCGGAUCGUAAAGCUCUGUUGUAAGAGAAGAACGAGUGUGAGAGUGGAAAGUUCACACUGUGACGGUAUCUUACCAGAAAGGGACGGCUAACUACGUG
RNAcentral lists this ribosomal RNA (495 nucleotides) under uncultured bacterium. Its description in RNAcentral is "partial 16S ribosomal RNA". It matches the Rfam family "Bacterial small subunit ribosomal RNA", at positions 28 to 507 of the family's 1533-position model. The record is from RNAcentral.